ACUUCACGUCAUCCGCUCUUGUGAGGCCUGCCGGGCUGCUCUGUGAUCUCGGGGCUCCCUGGAUGAAGGAACCUACCGAAACCCCCUUGUACUCACGAUCAGUCGCUGCGGUUCUGGCUGGGACAGCUCCAAAGCAGCAAACCUCAGCAUCGCUGAGCUCUGCUCUCUGAUGACUGCAAUGGGAUCUGAGGGAACUGCAUGAAGCUGCAACAGUCUGUAUCUCUUGACCUGAAGGAGAGCUGAACAAUCUAGUAUGCCUCCCAUUCCUUUGUGGUUACCACAGUAUUCAGCUGCUUCUGCCCUUCCCUACAGCAUGAGUGUCCAACCUUUUAGCUUGCCUGCGCUGCAGUGAGGAAAGAGGAAUUGCCUUUGGCUGCAUUUAUCAAGUGGCUGUGCACAUUCAUUAAGGAGAAGUAUCUAGAUCUCAAAAAGAUCACA
This 438-nucleotide long non-coding RNA is filed under the name Gallus gallus (chicken). RNAcentral describes it as "long non-coding RNA NONGGAT011913". Lineage: Eukaryota; Metazoa; Chordata; Aves; Galliformes; Phasianidae. The record is from RNAcentral.